RNAcentral lists this ribosomal RNA (2899 nucleotides) under Escherichia coli p0305293.1. RNAcentral describes it as "bacterial LSU rRNA". It matches the Rfam family "Bacterial large subunit ribosomal RNA". Lineage: Bacteria; Pseudomonadati; Pseudomonadota; Gammaproteobacteria; Enterobacterales; Enterobacteriaceae. The record is from RNAcentral.
UAAGCGACUAAGCGUACACGGUGGAUGCCCUGGCAGUCAGAGGCGAUGAAGGACGUGCUAAUCUGCGAUAAGCGUCGGUAAGGUGAUAUGAACCGUUAUAACCGGCGAUUUCCGAAUGGGGAAACCCAGUGUGUUUCGACACACUAUCAUUAACUGAAUCCAUAGGUUAAUGAGGCGAACCGGGGGAACUGAAACAUCUAAGUACCCCGAGGAAAAGAAAUCAACCGAGAUUCCCCCAGUAGCGGCGAGCGAACGGGGAGCAGCCCAGAGCCUGAAUCAGUGUGUGUGUUAGUGGAAGCGUCUAGAAAGGCGCGCGAUACAGGGUGACAGCCCCGUACACAAAAAUGCACAUACUGUGAGCUCGAUGAGUAGGGCGGGACACGUGGUAUCCUGUCUGAAUAUGGGGGGACCAUCCUCCAAGGCUAAAUACUCCUGACUGACCGAUAGUGAACCAGUACCGUGAGGGAAAGGCGAAAAGAACCCCGGCGAGGGGAGUGAAAAGAACCUGAAACCGUGUACGUACAAGCAGUGGGAGCACGCUUAGGCGUGUGACUGCGUACCUUUUGUAUAAUGGGUCAGCGACUUAUAUUCUGUAGCAAGGUUAACCGAAUAGGGGAGCCGAAGGGAAACCGAGUCUUAACUGGGCGUUAAGUUGCAGGGUAUAGACCCGAAACCCGGUGAUCUAGCCAUGGGCAGGUUGAAGGUUGGGUAACACUAACUGGAGGACCGAACCGACUAAUGUUGAAAAAUUAGCGGAUGACUUGUGGCUGGGGGUGAAAGGCCAAUCAAACCGGGAGAUAGCUGGUUCUCCCCGAAAGCUAUUUAGGUAGCGCCUCGUGAAUUCAUCUCCGGGGGUAGAGCACUGUUUCGGCAAGGGGGUCAUCCCGACUUACCAACCCGAUGCAAACUGCGAAUACCGGAGAAUGUUAUCACGGGAGACACACGGCGGGUGCUAACGUCCGUCGUGAAGAGGGAAACAACCCAGACCGCCAGCUAAGGUCCCAAAGUCAUGGUUAAGUGGGAAACGAUGUGGGAAGGCCCAGACAGCCAGGAUGUUGGCUUAGAAGCAGCCAUCAUUUAAAGAAAGCGUAAUAGCUCACUGGUCGAGUCGGCCUGCGCGGAAGAUGUAACGGGGCUAAACCAUGCACCGAAGCUGCGGCAGCGACGCUUAUGCGUUGUUGGGUUGGGGAGCGUUCUGUAAGCCUGCGAAGGUGUGCUGUGAGGCAUGCUGGAGGUAUCAGAAGUGCGAAUGCUGACAUAAGUAACGAUAAAGCGGGUGAAAAGCCCGCUCGCCGGAAGAUCAAGGGUUCCUGUCCAACGUUAAUCGGGGCAGGGUGAGUCGACCCCUAAGGCGAGGCCGAAAGGCGUAGUCGAUGGGAAACAGGUUAAUAUUCCUGUACUUGGUGUUACUGCGAAGGGGGGACGGAGAAGGCUAUGUUGGCCGGGCGACGGUUGUCCCGGUUUAAGCGUGUAGGCUGGUUUUCCAGGCAAAUCCGGAAAAUCAAGGCUGAGGCGUGAUGACGAGGCACUACGGUGCUGAAGCAACAAAUGCCCUGCUUCCAGGAAAAGCCUCUAAGCAUCAGGUAACAUCAAAUCGUACCCCAAACCGACACAGGUGGUCAGGUAGAGAAUACCAAGGCGCUUGAGAGAACUCGGGUGAAGGAACUAGGCAAAAUGGUGCCGUAACUUCGGGAGAAGGCACGCUGAUAUGUAGGUGAAGUCCCUCGCGGAUGGAGCUGAAAUCAGUCGAAGAUACCAGCUGGCUGCAACUGUUUAUUAAAAACACAGCACUGUGCAAACACGAAAGUGGACGUAUACGGUGUGACGCCUGCCCGGUGCCGGAAGGUUAAUUGAUGGGGUCAGCGCAAGCGAAGCUCUUGAUCGAAGCCCCGGUAAACGGCGGCCGUAACUAUAACGGUCCUAAGGUAGCGAAAUUCCUUGUCGGGUAAGUUCCGACCUGCACGAAUGGCGUAAUGAUGGCCAGGCUGUCUCCACCCGAGACUCAGUGAAAUUGAACUCGCUGUGAAGAUGCAGUGUACCCGCGGCAAGACGGAAAGACCCCGUGAACCUUUACUAUAGCUUGACACUGAACAUUGAGCCUUGAUGUGUAGGAUAGGUGGGAGGCUUUGAAGUGUGGACGCCAGUCUGCAUGGAGCCGACCUUGAAAUACCACCCUUUAAUGUUUGAUGUUCUAACGUGGACCCGUAAUCCGGGUUGCGGACAGUGUCUGGUGGGUAGUUUGACUGGGGCGGUCUCCUCCUAAAGAGUAACGGAGGAGCACGAAGGUUGGCUAAUCCUGGUCGGACAUCAGGAGGUUAGUGCAAUGGCAUAAGCCAGCUUGACUGCGAGCGUGACGGCGCGAGCAGGUGCGAAAGCAGGUCAUAGUGAUCCGGUGGUUCUGAAUGGAAGGGCCAUCGCUCAACGGAUAAAAGGUACUCCGGGGAUAACAGGCUGAUACCGCCCAAGAGUUCAUAUCGACGGCGGUGUUUGGCACCUCGAUGUCGGCUCAUCACAUCCUGGGGCUGAAGUAGGUCCCAAGGGUAUGGCUGUUCGCCAUUUAAAGUGGUACGCGAGCUGGGUUUAGAACGUCGUGAGACAGUUCGGUCCCUAUCUGCCGUGGGCGCUGGAGAACUGAGGGGGGCUGCUCCUAGUACGAGAGGACCGGAGUGGACGCAUCACUGGUGUUCGGGUUGUCAUGCCAAUGGCACUGCCCGGUAGCUAAAUGCGGAAGAGAUAAGUGCUGAAAGCAUCUAAGCACGAAACUUGCCCCGAGAUGAGUUCUCCCUGACUCCUUGAGAGUCCUGAAGGAACGUUGAAGACGACGACGUUGAUAGGCCGGGUGUGUAAGCGCAGCGAUGCGUUGAGCUAACCGGUACUAAUGAACCGUGAGGCUUAACCU